Molecule: non-coding RNA, 181 nt
Filed under: human gut metagenome
Description: Lysine riboswitch
Rfam family: Lysine riboswitch aptamer
About the family: Riboswitches are metabolite binding domains within certain messenger RNAs that serve as precision sensors for their corresponding targets. Allosteric rearrangement of mRNA structure is mediated by ligand binding, and this results in modulation of gene expression. This family includes riboswitches that sense lysine in a number of genes involved in lysine metabolism, including lysC.
Source: RNAcentral
CGGAUAGAGGUGCGGUGAGAUUAGUAGUAACAGUAUCAUAACCGAUUAAUUGCUGUUAUCGAAAGGCAGAACCGCCGAAGAAUAUCUUCCCUUUUCGGUUACGGGGAAAUAAUCUGGCAAUCGCUCCGAACAGGACUUUUGCUGUCAUCAUGCUUUAAUUUAAUGUGAUGGAGAGCUAUCA